CAGCCAUGCCGCGUGUGUGAAGAAGGCCUUCGGGUUGUAAAGCACUUUCAGCGAGGAAGAACGCCUAGUGGUUAAUACCCAUUAGGAAAGACAUCACUCGCAGAAGAAGCACCGGCUAACUCCGUGCCAGCAGCCGCGGUAAUACGGAGGGUGCGAGCGUUAAUCGGAAUUACUGGGCGUAAAGCGCGCGUAGGUGGCUUGAUAAGCCGGUUGUGAAAGCCCCGGGCUCAACCUGGGAACGGCAUCCGGAACUGUCAAGCUAGAGUGCAGGAGAGGAAGGUAGAAUUCCCGGUGUAGCGGUGAAAUGCGUAGAGAUCGGGAGGAAUACCAGUGGCGAAGGCGGCCUUCUGGACUGACACUGACACUGAGGUGCGAAAGCGUGGGUAGCAAACAGGAUUAGAUACCCUGGUAGUCCACGCCGUAAACGAUGUCGACCAGCCGUUGGGUGCCUAGCGCACUUUGUGGCGAAUUUAACGCGAUAAGUCGACCGCC
RNAcentral lists this ribosomal RNA (492 nucleotides) under gamma proteobacterium II-01. RNAcentral's name for it is "bacterial SSU rRNA". It matches the Rfam family "Bacterial small subunit ribosomal RNA", at positions 389 to 873 of the family's 1533-position model. The record is from RNAcentral. Lineage: Bacteria; Pseudomonadati; Pseudomonadota; Gammaproteobacteria.